ACUCAAAUGAAUUGACGGAAGUUUGAACAAGCGGUGGAGCAUCUGGUUCAAUGCGAUAUAACGCGCAAAACCUUACCAGUCAUUGAAUAUUUUCUGUAUCUUUUAUAGAAAAAGGUGCAUAAAAUUUAUUGAUUUAUAUUUUUUAUGUGAAAAUACAGGUGCUGCAUGGCUGUCGUAAGCUCGUGUAGUGAUAUGUUUGGUUAACUCCAUUAACGAGCGCAACCCUCGCUUCUAGUUAUUAGUAGAAGAACUGCCUGUCGGCUACAGGAGGAAGGUGAGGACGAUGUCAAGUCAGUAUGGCCUUUAUAGACUGGGCUACACAGGUGCUACAAUGGUGACAACAAAGGGUAGCAAUAAUGUAAAUUGGUGCAAAUCUCAAAAAAAUUAUCUCAGUUCGGAUUGUCCUCUGCAACUCGAGGGCAUGAAGGCGGAAUCGCUAGUAAUCGUGAAACAGCAUGCUACGGUGAAUCUGUGACCAAACUUAGUACACACCGCCCGU
This 499-nucleotide ribosomal RNA is filed under the name uncultured bacterium. RNAcentral's name for it is "partial 16S ribosomal RNA". It matches the Rfam family "Bacterial small subunit ribosomal RNA", at positions 899 to 1397 of the family's 1533-position model. The record is from RNAcentral.